Molecule: ribosomal RNA, 393 nt
Filed under: Uroglenopsis americana
Lineage: Eukaryota; Chrysophyceae; Chromulinales; Chromulinaceae
Description: partial small subunit ribosomal RNA
Rfam family: Eukaryotic small subunit ribosomal RNA
Source: RNAcentral
GCUUGUCUCAAAGAUUAAGCCAUGCAUGUCUAAGUAUAAACAAAUCUAUACGUGAAACUGCGAAUGGCUCAUUAUAUCAGUUAUAGUUUAUUUGAUGGUUCAUACUACUUGGAUAACCGUAGUAAUUCUAGAGCUAAUACAUGCGUCAAAACCCGACUCCUGGGAGGGUUGUAUUUAUUAGAUGGAAACCAAUGCGGGGCAACCCGGUAUAUGGUGAUUCAUAAUAACUUUCGGAUCGAUCUUCGGAUCGAUGCAUCAUUCAAGUUUCUGCCCUAUCAGCUUUCGAUGGUAGUGUAUUGGACUACCAUGGCUAUUACGGGUAACGGAGGAUUAGGGUUCGAUUCCGGAGAGGGAGCCUGAGAAACGGCUACCACAUCUAAGGAAGGCAGCAGG